CAGUGAUCACUUUAACGGCCGCGGUACCCUGACCGUGCAAAGGUAGCAUAAUCAUUUGCCUUUUAAUUGGAGGCUAGUAUGAAUGGUCUGACGAGAGUAAAACUGUCUCAUAUGUAUUUAAUAGAAAUUAACCUAAAGGUGCAAAGGCCUUUAUACACCAAAAAGACGAGAAGACCCUGUUGAGCUUUAAUCUGGCAUUUUUUCUAUAUUUAUAAAUCCAUUUUGCUUGCUAAAGAUUUUAAUUGGGGCGAUUAAGGAACACCCUACAGCUUCCUGAAAAGUUAAAUCGAUCCAGCAAUGCUGAUCAACAAAAUGAGUUACCACAGGGAUAACAGCAUAAUUCUUCUCAAGAGCCCAUAUCGAAAGGAGAGAUUGUGACCUCGAUGUUGGACUAGGGUGACCAGAAGGUGCAGCCGCUUUCUUGUUUGGUCUGUUCGACCAGUAAUUCCCU
Molecule: ribosomal RNA, 451 nt
Filed under: Nerita magdalenae
Lineage: Eukaryota; Metazoa; Mollusca; Gastropoda; Cycloneritida; Neritidae
Description: partial 16S ribosomal RNA
Rfam family: Bacterial large subunit ribosomal RNA
Source: RNAcentral